This 276-nucleotide non-coding RNA is filed under the name unclassified sequences. The record is from Rfam.
CGAGGUCACAUGGAGUAGCCGAAAGGCGAAAGACGACCUUCGCAAAAGGAGAUGCACUUCCCUGGGUGAAAAUCCUUAAAACUGCUCUGCUCGUGAGAGUGGAAUAGAACGUAUCCUAUGAAAAUAGCCGACGUUCUAUCUUUUGAUGUCAUUGCACGGACGCUGCUUGCAUGGUGGGUGAUUGUGCCUAAUCCCAUUUCAUGUGCAAGGACAAUGCAGAUUAGAUGGCACCCUACAACUUAUCUGUACGAAAGGCGAAAACUUAUUAUGACAAGU